RNAcentral lists this long non-coding RNA (3593 nucleotides) under Mus musculus (house mouse). RNAcentral's name for it is "long non-coding RNA chr18:77038566-77042159". Lineage: Eukaryota; Metazoa; Chordata; Mammalia; Rodentia; Muridae. The record is from RNAcentral.
AGAAUAGCAAGAGAGAACUGCUUGGAGAAAUGGCUCAAGCAGAAGAAAGAGAGAGCUGUCUAGAGAUCUCCUAAGAAAGAAAGCAGAUGAGAGAAAGGAGGAGGGGAGAGAGAGAGAGAGAGAGAGAGAGAGAGAGAAAGAGAGAGAGAGAGCGAACACAGAACCGCAAGAAAGCAGGCUAGAAAGCUGUCUCUAGCAGAACAUAGGCCACAAGCUAGUUCCAUAGGCCACAAUUUGACUUGGAGCCCUUUGUUUGACCAUUCGCAGACACCCCUUCCUCAGGACCCCUCUCCAAGCCAAGGCUGGUCCUUGGUGAGCAGUUUUCGACAGUGGAUGAUGGGAACAGAACCCAGGCCUCUUCAAGAGCAGCAAGUGCUUCUAACUGCUGAGCCAGUUCUCCUGCCCUACUGACUAGGUAUGUUUUAAAUCCUUGCCUACUCAUUUGUUUCCUGCAAUAUUUCUGAACCAAUUUGGUACUGGCUGCUUUUUGCCUUGGUUUUUUCUUGUUUCUUAUGACUAAAGCAAUUUUUCAGCAUGUGAUAGACAUUGAGGAUAUGAAUUAAGAUUUUGUUUUGUUUUGUUUUCUCUCUUUUAAAAUCUAUUAAAAAUUUCCGGAGAGUACCUGUGGGGUGAGAGGGCAAUCAAGGGGAGCAAGCUGGCUUUCUGCCUCUACCAUGCAGGUCCCGGGUACACCUCCCCAACUAGGCCAUCUGUGAAGCUUCUGUCUAUCUUUUGACAAUAAGGUCUAAACUGACCCAAAGCUUACUAGUCAAUCCAGGCUAGCCUUGAUCUAGCAAUCCUCCUGACCCAGUUUACCAGGUGCUGGGAUUACAGACCAACAGUCAGGCUGAGGAUGUCCAAAAUUUAUGGUAUUCUUUGAAACUUUUAUUUUGGCAGACCGGGUAGCUAUUUCCGGGGCAGUCUGAGCCUAGCGAGGUUUCUUGGGGGCUUUGUUGGGGAGGGCGUCUGAAGUCGGCUUUACUCUGGGGCUAGUUUUGCUUGUCUCUUUGGGGUCUUCACAUAGGUUUGGUACAAACUCAACUGUCUCUCAUGCUGUGAGAGUGAAUGGGUGUUCCCUUUACAGUUCCCGGGCAUUGCUCUUCUCAGCCUCACUUGGUCAGUUUGCCACUGUGUGACUUAGUAUUCAGCCCAAAAAGAACUUUGGACUUGCUUUUCAGCACAGCUCUAUAACUUUAAUUUUUUCAAACACCUAUUUUUAAUGAUGGUUCUCAAACGCUUAAACCUCUCGUGUAGCACACCAUCCACCAGAGGUAGUGGGAAAGAAAGGAUACGGGGGAAGUGGACCUGUUUAGAAAGGUUCUUUGGAGCAACUCCAGUCUGUGUUGUCUGGAAAUCUGCAGUUCAGUUCACAGGCUAGCAGGCAGAGGCAGCUCGACCCACUCUCAAACACUUCAUGGACACACCAGCAGUCCAGUGCAGUAGAGUUGGGACAGCAAACAUGAAUCAGCAGCGGUGGCACAUAGAGACAGCCAGGCCUCAGCCUCGGCACAAGUCGGCAUGAGGGACCCGGAGGGACACCAGGAAAUGUUCUCUGCUGUGCCUUUCUCAGUGAGUUGAAGAUCAGUGAAGACUUGAGACUCACAAGCGCUGCUAGCUCUAUAAGCAAGCCUCGCUCAGCCUCUGUCACUGUCCACUGAGUCCUAUUUAUAUCCUCCAAACAUGUCCUCCACCGGUCUUGCCUCAGCAUGUUCAUCUGUCUCAGCUGACAUCACUCUGUCAAUCAUCCCGAGUUCUUGGAAGCCAUAAGACACUGCAGCACACCACCAGAAGUUUUUUUGGAGCGUUUCUUACUAUGGAGUCCCGAAAAACGCAGCUUAACUAUGCAAUGUAAGGCAGACAGACCAAUACCUGCAUAUUGAAUCCUUCAUCAUGUGUCCUUUCAAGUGCUUGCUUUAGCAGAAGAUCCUGCCUCCUGUGUCAGCUUCAGGUAAACGGUCUUUCACAAGUCUGCCUUAGCCUUUCACCUGUGUCCACUUCAGCUAAACAUCCCUCCCUGUGUUUGCCCCAGCAAAACACCAUCCAACUGACUUUCCAAAGAACCCUUAAGUUUCCACUUCAUAGCUCUCUCUCCUCUCUAUGACUCUAAUCCCCAAUUUCCAAUGAUAAGCGUCCCAAACUCUGACCUGUCUCAGCACACCUACCAUGCUCUUGAGUCUCUUCUUCCUAUGCCAGAAUCCAGGCACUGCUCUCAUGGAGACCAGCAUCUCCCCCCACCACACUAAAGUCGAUGCCCCAGUGCUGUGUUGCAGUUUAGUUUCCUUUGUUCUGUGUGUGCACACACACAUAAACAUACAUGUACACUCACUCACUCGCAUGCUAGAGAACUACAUCAGGUAUCUUCCUCAAUAUUUCUGCACUUAGGGGGUUUUUGGUUGUUUUUUGUUUGCUUGUUUGUUUUUUGUUGUUUUUUUCUUUGUUUUGUUUUAGGACAGGGUCUGUCACUAUAUCUGAAGCUUGACAAUUUGACUAGACUGGCUGACAAUUAAGGCUGAGUGAAUUUCCUGUCUCUGCCUGUUCAGCUCUAGGAUUAUAGGCACCAACCACUAUAUACCCCUCUCUCUUAAUAUGAGGACUACUGAUCAAACUCAGGUCUCUACAGCAAGAGAACUAGUUCUGGAACCUGCUAUCAAAGUUUAAAGUGGAAGGCUAUACCAAUUUUUAAAAUUAAGGUCUCAUUUUGUAGACCUGGCUGACCUGGAACUUUCUUUUUUUUUUUCCCCAAAGAUUUAUUUAUUAUUUAUUAUAUGUGAAGUACACUGUAGCUGUCUUCAGACACUCCAGAAGAGGGAGUCAGAUCUCAUUACAGAUGGUGGUGAGCCACCAUGUGGUUGCUGGGAUUUGAACUCCGGACCUUCGGAAGAGCAGUUGGGUGCUCUUACCUGCUGAGCCAUCUCACCAGCCCGACCUGGAACUUUCUAUGUAGACCAGGCUGGCCUUGAAUUUGGAGAUUUACCUGCCUUAGCCUCCUGGGUGCUAAGAUGGCAGGUGUGUGCCAUUAUGCCCAGUCAUAUGCCAGUUUUAAAAGUGCUUUUCAGAUAUAUCUGGGUGAGGCUGGAGAUGGGGCUCAGAAGUUAUAAACACUUGCAGAAGUGCCUGAGUUUCCAGCACCCUGGUUGGAUAACUAGCAACUUCCUAUAACACCAUCUCUGAGAGAUCCUGUGCCUCUGGCCUCUGGAGGCAUCUGCACACACAUGGCAGACACACACAUAUAGAUAAAAAUAAAACCAGGCUAGAGAUAUGACUCUGUGGCUAAGAACAUGCACUGCUCUUGUAGAGGACCUGCAGUUCCUAGCACCUGGAACUGCCUUAAGUGCUACCCCAGGGGAUCUGAGGACUCCCUGGACACCUGCACUCACACAUGCACACACACACGUUUUUACACACAUAAUGAAAAACAAAGCAGGGGCUGGAGAGAUGGCUCAGUGGUUAAGAGCACUGACUGCUCUUCCGAAGGUCCUGAGUUCAAAUCCCAAAAACCACAUGGUGGCUCACAACCAUCUGUAACUAGAUCUGAUGCUCUCUUCUGGUAAAUCUUAGCUGCAGUGUACUUAGAUAUAAUAAUAAAUAAAUCU